Molecule: ribosomal RNA, 474 nt
Filed under: uncultured bacterium
Lineage: Bacteria
Description: bacterial SSU rRNA
Rfam family: Bacterial small subunit ribosomal RNA
Source: RNAcentral
ACUCCUACGGGAGGCAGCAGUGGGGAAUAUUGGACAAUGGGCGGAAGCCUGAUCCAGCCAUGCCGCGUGUGUGAAGAAGGCCUUAUGGUUGUAAAGCACUUUAAGCGAGGAGGAGGCUACUCUAGUUAAUACCUAGAGAUAGUGGACGUUACUCGCAGAAUAAGCACCGGCUAACUCUGUGCCAGCAGCCGCGGUAAUACAGAGGGUGCGAGCGUUAAUCGGAUUUACUGGGCGUAAAGCGUGCGUAGGCGGCUGAUUAAGUCGGAUGUGAAAUCCCUGAGCUUAACUUAGGAAUUGCAUUCGAUACUGGUCAGCUAGAGUAUGGGAGAGGAUGGUAGAAUUCCAGGUGUAGCGGUGAAAUGCGUAGAGAUCUGGAGGAAUACCGAUGGCGAAGGCAGCCAUCUGGCCUAAUACUGACGCUGAGGUACGAAAGCAUGGGAGCAAACAGGAUUAGAUACCCCUGGUAGCGACUGA